This is a long non-coding RNA of Oreochromis niloticus (Nile tilapia), 524 nucleotides long. RefSeq lists it as uncharacterized. The transcript has 6 exons. The record is from RefSeq and is a predicted model, not a curated record. Lineage: Eukaryota; Metazoa; Chordata; Actinopteri; Cichliformes; Cichlidae.
CUUCACCACCAUGCACAUUAGCUGCGGGUCGCCACCUCCGUCAGGUUAACUGGAGGAGUAGUCUUGCCGUGAAGUCACAAGAAGAUAGAGGCAUGCAUCUGGAGAGAGGACGAGUUAUCAACACAGACUCUGAUGAUGAACAACCUCAUGUAAAAGUACCAGGAGGAGUAGUCUUGCCAUGAAGUCACAAGAAGAUAGAGGCAUGCAUCUGGAGAGAGGACGAGUUAUCAACACAGACUCUGAUGAUGAACAACCUCAUGUAAAAGUACCAGGAGGAGUAGUCUUGCCGUGAAGUCACAAGAAGAUAGAGGCAUGCAUCUGGAGAGAGGACGAGGGGGGUAGAAUUUUCUUUCUCUGCACUCGCAUCUCCAGCGUGCCCGCGUUAGCGCACAUUCAGCGAGCCUCCAGUGAACCUCCAGCGAGCCUCCAGCGAGCCCGGGAUCGUUGGGGAUCGUUGGAGUCAAACUGGAGGUGCGCUUGUGCCUCUCCAGCGAGCCCGCAUUGAUGCCUCUCCAGCGUAUCCG